This 87-nucleotide transfer RNA is filed under the name uncultured archaeon. Its description in RNAcentral is "tRNA-Leu(taa)". It matches the Rfam family "tRNA". From Rfam's summary of the family: Transfer RNA (tRNA) molecules are approximately 80 nucleotides in length. Their secondary structure includes four short double-helical elements and three loops (D, anti-codon, and T loops). The record is from RNAcentral.
UGCGGGGGUGGCGGAGUGGUCAAACGCGCAGGACUUAAGAUCCUGUGACUUAGUGUCUACGAGGGUUCGAAACCCUUCCCCCGCAAC